Molecule: ribosomal RNA, 497 nt
Filed under: uncultured bacterium
Lineage: Bacteria
Description: partial 16S ribosomal RNA
Rfam family: Bacterial small subunit ribosomal RNA
Source: RNAcentral
GAUGAACGCUGGCGGCGUGCCUAAUACAUGCAAGUCGAGCGAACGGACGAGAAGCUUGCUUCUCUGAUGUUAGCGGCGGACGGGUGAGUAACACGUGGAUAACCUACCUAUAAGACUGGGAUAACUUCGGGAAACCGGAGCUAAUACCGGAUAAUAUUUUGAACCGCAUGGUUCAAAAGUGAAAGACGGUCUUGCUGUCACUUAUAGAUGGAUCCGCGCUGCAUUAGCUAGUUGGUAAGGUAACGGCUUACCAAGGCAACGAUGCAUAGCCGACCUGAGAGGGUGAUCGGCCACACUGGAACUGAGACACGGUCCAGACUCCUACGGGAGGCAGCAGUAGGGAAUCUUCCGCAAUGGGCGAAAGCCUGACGGGGCAACGCCGCGUGAGUGAUGAAGGUCUUCGGAUCGUAAAACUCUGUUAUUAGGGAAGAACAUAUGUGUAAGUAACUGUGCACAUCUUGACGGUACCUAAUCGGAAAGCCACGGCUAACUACGUG